Non-coding RNA from Macaca mulatta (Rhesus monkey), 1819 nucleotides. NCBI's taxonomy places the organism in Eukaryota, Metazoa, Chordata, Mammalia, Primates, Cercopithecidae. The record is from RefSeq and is a predicted model, not a curated record.
ACCAGCGCCUUUUUUGUUUGCUCUUUCCGGCAAUUCCCCAGUGAGGAAGCCCCUGGAGUAAAGUCUUUCGCUACCGUCGGCACUGGAGGGGAAGCAUGAGGAGAGGGGAACUAACUAAAGGGUAAAAUGUCACUGAGGAACUUUGGAGAAGAGGGGGACAAGACGUCGGGCGGGGGAGCCAGCGCUCAGGUGAGAACUAAGAAGGGGGCGGCGCCCGGGGACCGGCUCCAGGCGGCGGCGGGCGGGGAGCCGCCGCGAGGUGGGUGUGCGUAUCUGGGUGUGUCCCGUCUGCGGUGGGGGAGGGGGCCACCCAUCCCGGGGUCCUGAGGGAGGGGCCCCGCGAGGGGGCGGGUCCGGCAAAUCAGCCCGGCCGGGGGCCAAGGGGGUGGAAGGUCGCCCGGUGCCUGGAGGCGGGAUGAAGGAAAGUAGCUGAGCGCCCCAGGAGCGCGCUGCGGCGGAGGGCGGGCGAGGUGACCCCGGUGCAGGGAAGUGGCACUGGGGUGUGGGGCCCGAGUCCAGUCAAGGAGCAGCACCUACCUCCGGGGGUGGAAAUGGGCCGGAAUGGGCCGGAACACCGUCCCGGAAGUGAAACCCCCCACCCCCUCCCACGGAGCGGGCGACGUGCCGGAAGGAAAUCACUCAGCCUUACACCGCCCCCCUUCCCCCACCCCCAGAGCUUUCCUUGCCUCGCGCCCCCUCCCCUCUCUGCUCUUCCUCCUCAGUCGGGAGGAGGACGGGAGCACGGCGUCACGUGGGCGUCAUGUCUCCGCCCAAAAUGGCGAGGAAGGGCGGGGAAAAGGGGCGGGUUUAGGGGGCGGGAAGAAGGUGGUGCUGGAGGAGGGAAAGAUUGAGGGGGGUUAGGGGGAGGAGCCGAAGCGGACGCCGCCGGGAGCGUGCGUCGUGACGUCAUCACAAGAACUCUUAUAUGCGGGAGCCCAGGCACCAUAUUGUCUUUUCGAGGUGGGAGCCGACUGUUGUGAGGUAUGGUGCUGGGUGUAGAUGCAAUGUGGCUCUCGAUAGCACCUUAUGGACAGUUGUGUCCCAAAGGAGGGAUGACAAUAGCUACUGAAGUCCUAAAGAGCAAGCCUAACUCAAGCCAUUGGCAUACAGGCAUUAGACAGAAAAUUAGAAGUUGAAAUGGUGGAGUGCAACUUGUCUGGACCAGCUUUAUUUUUCUGGUGCCGAUGUUUGGAGACCUUUUAAAGGUAUGGAGAGUCGACUUGACUACACCGUGUGGAGCAAGUUUUAAAGAAGCAAAGGACUCAGAAUUCAUGCUUGAAGAAAUGCAGGUUAGUUUAAACUUUUAAGGAAAUUUUUAAGGUGGCAAAAGGUUUUAGUGGCAUAUACACCUUAAUCUGUAGAUGGGAGUGAUUAGCUGUUUGAAAGUUGAAAUGUGACUGAAAAGGAAAUUGAGUAGGGAAAUUUUAAAUGGGAUUAUUUUUCAUCUUCAAACAGGCAGACCUGUUAUCCUAAACUAGGUGAGUCAGCUUUUGGUACAUGUGAUAAUUUUCAAUGUAACCAAUGAUGUAAUGAUUCUGCCAAAUGAAAUAUAAUGAUAUCACUAUAAAACCGUUCCAUUUUGAUUCUGAGGUUACUCUACUAACAAGCAUCACACGUUUGUUUUUUGCCGUGAUUAAUAUGUUGUCUUUGCUUUCAGGGUUUUUAAUGACUACAGCAAGCAAGCAUGUAGCUUUACCGCUUGAAAGGUGAGGAUUGGAAAUAUUGGGACUAUUAUAAUUGCAGAAUACAUGAUGAUCUCAGUCCAGCUUGAACUCUCUCACUGAUUACCUGAUGACAAUAAAAGAUCUGAUAUUCUGCA